RNAcentral lists this ribosomal RNA (380 nucleotides) under uncultured eukaryote. RNAcentral describes it as "partial 18S ribosomal RNA". It matches the Rfam family "Eukaryotic small subunit ribosomal RNA", at positions 592 to 976 of the family's 1831-position model. The record is from RNAcentral.
CAAUAGCGUAUAUUAAAGUUGUUGCGGUUAAAAAGCUCGUAGUUGGAUUUCUGCCGAGGACGACCGGUCCGCCCUCCGGGUGAGUAUCUGGCUCGGCCUGGGCAUCUUCUUGGAGAACGUAGCUGCACUUGGCUGUGUGGUGCGGUAUUCAGGACUUUUACUUUGAGGAAAUUAGAGUGUUUCAAGCAGGCACACGCCUUGAAUACAUUAGCAUGGAAUAAUAAGAUAGGACCUCGGUUCUAUUUUGUUGGUUUCUAGAUCUGAGGUAAUGAUUAAUAGGGAUAGUUGGGGGCAUUCGUAUUUAACUGUCAGAGGUGAAAUUCUUGGAUUUGUUAAAGACGGACUACUGCGUAAGCAUUUGCCAAGGAUGUUUUCAUUGA